This 253-nucleotide ribosomal RNA is filed under the name uncultured bacterium. Its description in RNAcentral is "partial 16S ribosomal RNA". It matches the Rfam family "Bacterial small subunit ribosomal RNA", at positions 524 to 776 of the family's 1533-position model. The record is from RNAcentral.
UACGUAGGUGGCAAGCGUUGUCCGGAUUUACUGGGCGUAAAGAGUGCGCAGGCGGUCGUUCAAGUCGAGUGUGAAAGCCCCCGGCUCAACUGGGGAGGGUCACUCGAUACUGAUCGACUCGAAGGCAGAAGAGGGAAGCGGAAUUCCCGGUGUAGUGGUGAAAUGCGCAGAUAUCAGGAGGAAUACCGGUGGCGAAGGCGGAUCUCUGGGCCGAUACUGACGCUGAGGAGCGAAAGCGUGGGGAGCGAACAGG